This 465-nucleotide ribosomal RNA is filed under the name uncultured bacterium. Its description in RNAcentral is "partial 16S ribosomal RNA". It matches the Rfam family "Bacterial small subunit ribosomal RNA", at positions 339 to 795 of the family's 1533-position model. The record is from RNAcentral.
CUACGGGCCGCUCCAGUGGGGAAUAUUGGACAAUGGGGGAAACCCUGAUCCAGCAAUGCCGCGUGUGUGAAGAAGGCCUGCGGGUUGUAAAGCACUUUCGGUUGGGAGGACUGCUUCUAGCACUAAUAUUGUUGGAAGUUGACGUUACCUUCAGAAGAAGCACCGGCUAACUCCGUGCCAGCAGCCGCGGUAAUACGGAGGGCGCAAGCGUUACUCGGAAUCACUGGGCGUAAAGAGCGUGUAGGCGGCUAGAUCAGUCGGGUGUGAAAGCCCCGGGCUUAACCUGGGAACUGCAUCCGAUACUGUCUAGCUUGAGUACAGGAGAGGAGAGUGGAAUUCCACAUGUAGCGGUGAAAUGCGUAGAUAUGUGGAGGAACACCAAUGGCGAAGGCAGCUCUCUGGCCUGAUACUGACGCUGAGGUGCGAAAGCGUGGGGAGCAAACAGGAUUAGAUACCCUCGUAGUC